Molecule: ribosomal RNA, 633 nt
Filed under: Triticum aestivum (bread wheat)
Lineage: Eukaryota; Viridiplantae; Streptophyta; Magnoliopsida; Poales; Poaceae
Description: partial small subunit ribosomal RNA
Source: RNAcentral
AUGCCACUGUCAGAAAAUGCUACAGAGGAUUUUAUUGCUUGGAAUCACACAAAAUCAUUUUCCUUUACGGUCCGGUCAGCAUAUUACGUUGAGUGGGAACGCCAAUUUGGACCGAGAUGUUCGAGUAUUCAGAGCACAUCUAAUAUGAACCCAAUUUGGGAAACAGUUUGGAAACUGGAAAUACCUAGCAAAGUUAAGAUCUUUGUAUGGCGGGCGCUGCAUGGCUUGAUCCCUAGCAUGGCUGGGCUGGCUCGACGACAUAUCAAAGUUUCACCACUAUGCCCUGUGUGUCGUUCUGGCGUGGAAGACAUCAAACAUCUAAUUUUCAGUUGUCCAAGAGCAGUUUUAGUUUGGCGUGCACUGGGAUUAGAUGUCAUCAUUAAGCAAGCUCUUAGCGUGGAUCGUUCUGGCUCAGUAGUACUGGAAGAAUUGUUGCGCUGACCGUGUGGGAGCUCACCGGUGCUUGGGCAGCUGGGUCUACAUGAGACGUUGGCAGUUGGCGCGUGGUACAUUUGGUGGAAAAGAAGGGAAGCAUGCAAAGGAGAAAGAGUUAAACCCCCAAACAGCACAGCUUUUGCUAUUCAUGCAAUAACGGGCAACUCGGUGAGAAGACCGGGAACAUCCAAGGAUUGA